This 23-nucleotide non-coding RNA is filed under the name Arabidopsis thaliana (thale cress). Lineage: Eukaryota; Viridiplantae; Streptophyta; Magnoliopsida; Brassicales; Brassicaceae. The record is from RNAcentral.
CUCACUAGUGUGAUGAUGUGUCA